UCCCUGGAGGACUAGUGGUUAUGCCACAACGCUCUCACUGCUGCGGCCUGGGUUCGAUUCCUGGCCAGGGAG
This 72-nucleotide transfer RNA is filed under the name Pangasianodon gigas (Mekong giant catfish). RNAcentral's name for it is "tRNA-Glu". It matches the Rfam family "tRNA". Rfam says of the family: Transfer RNA (tRNA) molecules are approximately 80 nucleotides in length. Their secondary structure includes four short double-helical elements and three loops (D, anti-codon, and T loops). Further hydrogen bonds mediate the characteristic L-shaped molecular structure. tRNAs have two regions of fundamental functional importance: the anti-codon, which is responsible for specific mRNA codon recognition, and the 3' end, to which the tRNAs corresponding amino acid is attached (by aminoacyl-tRNA synthetases). tRNAs cope with the degeneracy of the genetic code in two manners: having more than one tRNA (with a specific anti-codon) for a particular amino acid; and 'wobble' base-pairing, i.e. permitting non-standard base-pairing at the 3rd anti-codon position. The record is from RNAcentral. Lineage: Eukaryota; Metazoa; Chordata; Actinopteri; Siluriformes; Pangasiidae.